UUUUUAUUUACAUGAACCAGCUCACAUGCCAACAAAUGCAUCAUAGAGCCUGCUUUUCCUGAUGGGGAGAAUAUCAUCACUUAUUUCAUCAGUCUGGCCCAGGGAAGUGAAAAUAUUGGAUACCCUUGCUCGAGAAGCUGGAAGAAGCAAGGAAGUGGAUUUUCCCCUAGAACCCCCAGAAGGAACAUAGACCUGCUGAGACCUUGAUUAUAGCCUUUGGAGAAUCACUUUGGACUUUUGACCACCAGAACUAUAAUAUAAUAAUUUUGUGUUGUUUUAAUCAGCAAGUUUGUAGUAAUUUGUUACAGCAGCAAUUGGAAACAAAUAUAUUGAAUCAUAUGGUAACUCUAUGUUUAACCUUUCGAGGAACUGUCAGAACGUUUCCUAAAGCGGCUGCCCCAUUUUGCAUUCCCAUCAGCAGUCUAUGAGGGUUCCAAUUUCUCCACAUGCUCACAAGCACUUGUUAUUAUCUGUCUUUUUGAUUAUAGCUAUCCUAGUGGGUGUGAAGUGAUUUAUCAUUGUGGUUUUGAUUUGCAUUUAUCUAAUGGCUAAUGAUGCUGAACUUCUUUUCAUGUGCUUAUUGGCCAUUUGUAUGUCUUCUUUGGAGAAAUGUCUGUUCAGCUCCUUUGCCCCCUUCAUUGCACUGGAACAUGGGGUGUGUGUGUGUGCAUGCACAUGUGUGUGAUGUUAGAGGGAGCAGGACCAAUUCUGGGACAGUCCAGGAAGAGCCUUGUAUACCAUGCACCAGGGAUUUGGGAUAAAAUACUGAGAGUGAUAAGGGAAGUCAAUGACGGAUAUAAAGCCAGGUGGCGUCCUGAUCAAUUCUGUAUUUUAGGAAACAUUCUGAGGAGCCACUGGAGGAUACUGAGGGCUGAUGGAAGGAGGAGAUAGAGGACUAGUGGCUGAGAGAUAUUGGGCUACUGGAGUGAUGCAAUCAAGAAAUGACCAGGAUUAGAAACCAGGGCGGUGGUGGUAGGGCAAAGAAGAGUUUACAGAUUGAAGGAUUUUAGGGGAGAUAAUAAAAUCUACAGUAUUUUGUUGGAUGUAGGGGUUUAAGAGCAAAAGUAGCUUGAGAAAAUCCCAGCUAUCUGGUUUGGGCCAUUGAGUGGAAGGAGGUACAUUUUAUGGACAUAGAGAGCCCUGGAGCAGGAACAUUUACGGGCAGGUAGGAAACCAACAAUGGAUUUAGUUUUAACCAUGUUGACUUUGAGGUGUCUCUGAGGCAUCCAUGGGGAAAUGGGUUGUUUGACAUGAGUUUGAAAUUAAGGAGAGAGGUAUGGGCUGGACAGACACAUGUAGGCAAUACUAGGUCAAUUAGCUGAAGCUGUGGUGUGGCUGAGAUUACCUGGGGAGACUGUGUAGUGUGAGAAGAAAAGAAAGUUAGGGAUAGAAACAUCUUUUGAGGAAACAGAUAUGAAAGAGGAACCAAUGUAGGAGAUGCAGAGAGGUUGGCAGAAGAUUCUUUAUCUGCUGAGGUUUGGCAGUCAUAGAAACCAAGGCAACUCCAAAUUUCCAUUGUAUGCUCAAGUACCUAAGAACCAAGUUAACACAUGCUUCAGUGGUCUCCAAAAGGUUCCCCCAUUCCAACCUUAAGCUGAGAAGAACUGUUUCCAUUUUUAAUGACUCAAACGUUCAAAGAUAAUGCUCUUUGAUCUUGAAGUGCUUGAAGACUAAGCAUGGAAUGUAGUGGAGGCUUUUGCUUAUACUGACAUUGACUCUGGGGCAAAGCAGAAGUCCACUUUUAUGUAAGAGUCUCUGUUUAUAUUCUCCUGGAUGAGGCCUUCUAGCAGUUGUUAUUGACUUAUUUCCUUCAUCCUUUCAUAUUCUAACAUUUCUUAAAUUGGGUUAUGUUUUACAAUCAAGUGUUAUUUAAAUCAAUGAGAUAUUUUAGAAUUAAGAAAAUAGAGCAUUAAAGUUUAAAUCUCAUGUCAUUUGUGAACAUUUUUGCUUUUUAUAUUUUGCAGAGCUGCAGCUAUUAACAUUUAGCACACAGAGUGGAGUCACUUUAAUUGGCAACUCAUUUGCUGACUCUCACUUUUUUCUUCAAAGUGAUUCUAGCCUCUGGCCUCACUAAACUCCUUGCUAUUGCCAUAUCCAUGCUGAGCAACCUGCCUGCAUGCCCACAGUGCUCCCUCUUCCAGUCCUGUCUCUCCCUCUUGUCUGGCUGGGCCUCCAUCCAAGACUCAGAUCAAGUGUAUCCUCUUGUGGUGUUCCACCUCCCACUCCAGCCCAUUGGGUCCUCCUUCCUCUUCCCAUAUAUUCCUCCAUCAUUUGUUUAGUAAAUACUUAUCUAUCUAUGUGUCAAACUCAUUUGUCAACUCCUUGAGAUUUUUGUCUUGUUUAUUUUUGUAAACCUGGUACUUAGCUCAGAGACUUGCAUUCUAAUAAAUUAAUAAAUGUUUGUUGAAUAAGUAAA
This is a long non-coding RNA of Symphalangus syndactylus (siamang), 2416 nucleotides long. RefSeq lists it as uncharacterized. The record is from RefSeq and is a predicted model, not a curated record. NCBI's taxonomy places the organism in Eukaryota, Metazoa, Chordata, Mammalia, Primates, Hylobatidae.